GAGUUUGAUCAUGGCUCAGAUUGAACGCUGGCGGCAUGCCUUACACAUGCAAGUCGAACGGCAGCACGGGCUUCGGCCUGGUGGCGAGUGGCGAACGGGUGAGUAAUACAUCGGAACGUGCCCUGUUGUGGGGGAUACCAGUCGAAAGAUUGGCUAAUACCGCAUACGACCUGAGGGUGAAAGCGGGGGACCGCAAGGCCUCGCGCAGCAGGAGCGGCCGAUGUCUGAUUAGCUAGUUGGUGGGGUAAAGGCCCACCAAGGCGACGAUCAGUAGCUGGUCUGAGAGGACGAUCAGCCACACUGGGACUGAGACACGGCCCAGACU
Molecule: ribosomal RNA, 325 nt
Filed under: uncultured beta proteobacterium
Lineage: Bacteria; Pseudomonadati; Pseudomonadota; Betaproteobacteria
Description: bacterial SSU rRNA
Rfam family: Bacterial small subunit ribosomal RNA
Source: RNAcentral